AGGAAGUUCAAUAUCAAUGGAUCACAAAUGGAAAACUGGACUCUUCUCAACCACACUCGCCAAACAAGGAAGUUCAAAAUCAAUGGAUCACAAAUGGAAAACAGGAAAACUGGACCCUUCUCAACCACACUCGCCAAACAAGGAAGUUCAAUAUCUCUUAGAGUCCGCAUGUACGGGGCCUAAGGUGGUAUUGUUCUGUCCAUCAAAAGGAUUUCCACAACCCAUCAACAAUCCCCAUCAACAACAACUACAAUGAAGGUACGUAGGCUACAUUUCCAGUGAUGCAGAUAGGAUAGGGACAGCAGCUCCUAAAUUGAGGUAAAUAAUAUGUUAAAAGUAUAGAGUCGCACGACAAAUCAUUGCUGUUGUUAAUUUGAUCAACUGUACACAUACUGUAUAUUGUUUUGGUCAUAAUUCCUUUUCCCCCCAUAGACUUCAUGUUGCUGUUACAUCGUGAUUUUAUGCUGUAGGGGAACAUCAAAGAGACACCAACAGCAGAAGGAGAAACACAACAUAUCACAAAGCAAAUUUAAGUACACUUUUUCUUUGAAAUAAGAUUUGUUUCCAGUAGUUUUGUAAUUUACUAAAGAUAUAUUGUUCAUCUGUACUCAGAAAACACUGAAUUAAUGCUAUUGUGUUUUUCUUUCCCUUUCCCUUUCCCUUUCCAAAAAAAACAACAAAAAAAACAAAAAAAAAACCCUCUUUUCUCUUCUUCUUUUCAUUCAACAUAUUGCACUCCUGUAGCGAUGACAGUUAGCUCUUAAAGUUAUGUACUUACUUGAUUCCUGUGUUCUAUGUCUAGUACCAUCAGGUUGAAUGCACUUGUCGCUUCAUCUAAUUAAUGAUUUUUUCUCCUUUUUUCUUUUCCUAUUUGUUUUUUUUGUUUUGUGAUUUUGCCAUAAAUGUGACACCUGAUGAACACCAUGCAAAGAAGGUUACAUCAUGAUUUUGUGCUGAAGGGGAAUAUCAAAGAGACACCAACAGCAUAAGGAGAAACACAACAUAAACAACAAAAUAAAUUUAAGUACUCUUUUCCUUUGAAAUAAAAUUAGUAUCCAGUAGUUUUGUAAUUUACUAAAGAUAUAUUGUUCAUCUGUACUCAGAAAACACUGAAUUAAUGCUAUUGUGUUUUUCUUUCCCUUUCCCUUUCCCUUUCCAAAAAAAACAACAAAAAAAACAAAAAAAAAACCCUCUUUUCUCUUCUUCUUUUCAUUCAACAUAUUGCACUCCUGUAGCGAUGACAGUUAGCUCUUAAAGUUAUGUACUUACUUGAUUCCUGUGUUCUAUGUCUAGUACCAUCAGGUUGAAUGCACUUGUCGCUUCAUCUAAUUAAUGAUUUUUUCUCCUUUUUUCUUUUCCUAUUUGUUUUUUUUGUUUUGUGAUUUUGCCACAAAUGUGACACCUGAUGAACACCAUGCAAAGAAGGUUACAUCAUGAUUUUGUGCUGAAGGGGAACAUCAAAGAGACACCAACAGCAUAAGGAGAAACACAACAUAAACAACAAAAUAAAUUUAAGUACUCUUUUCCUUUGAAAUAAAAUUAGUAUCCAGUAGUUUUGUAAUUUACUAAAGAUAUAUUGUUCAUCUGUACUCAGAAAACACUGAAUUAAUGCUAUUGUGUUUUUCUUUCCCUUUCCCUUUCCCUUUCCAAAAAAAACAACAAAAAAAACAAAAAAAAACCCCUCUUUUCUCUUCUUCUUUUCAUUCAACAUAUUGCACUCCUGUAGCGAUGACAGUUAGCUCUUAAAGUUAUGUACUUACUUGAUUCCUGUGUUCUAUGUCUAGUACCAUCAGGUUGAAUGCACUUGUCGCUUCAUCUAAUUAAUGAUUUUUUCUCCUUUUUUCUUUUCCUAUUUGUUUUUUUUGUUUUGUGAUUUUGCCAUAAAUGUGACACCUGAUGAACACCAUGCAAAGAAGGUUACAUCAUGAUUUUGUGCUGAAGGGGAAUAUCAAAGAGACACCAACAGCAUAAGGAGAAACACAACAUAAACAACAAAAUAAAUUUAAGUACUCUUUUCCUUUGAAAUAAAAUUAGUAUCCAGUAGUUUUGUAAUUUACUAAAGAUAUAUUGUUCAUCUGUACUCAGAAAACACUGAAUUAAUGCUAUUGUGUUUUUCUUUCCCUUUCCCUUUCCCUUUCCAAAAAAAACAACAAAAAAAACAAAAAAAAAACCCUCUUUUCUCUUCUUCUUUUCAUUCAACAUAUUGCACUCCUGUAGCGAUGACAGUUAGCUCUUAAAGUUAUGUACUUACUUGAUUCCUGUGUUCUAUGUCUAGUACCAUCAGGUUGAAUGCACUUGUCGCUUCAUCUAAUUAAUGAUUUUUUCUCCUUUUUUCUUUUCCUAUUUGUUUUUUUUGUUUUGUGAUUUUGCCAUAAAUGUGACACCUGAUGAACACCAUGCAAAGAAGGUUACAUCAUGAUUUUGUGCUGAAGGGGAACAUCAAAGAGACACCAACAGCAUAAGGAGAAACACAACAUAAACAACAAAAUAAAUUUAAGUACUCUUUUCCUUUGAAAUAAAAUUAGUAUCCAGUAGUUUUGUAAUUUACUAAAGAUAUAUUGUUUAUCUGUACUAAGAAAACAAUGUGUUAAUAUUGUUUCUUUAUUUUUUCCUGGCCUGAAGGGUAACUACAAGACGGAAUCAACAACAUUAAGCUAAGUGCUUUUCUUACUGCUCAUGACAUUCUUAUAUUUCAUGAUUUCUUACAAAUAUUUUUUAUCUGUAAACCGAAACCUUACAUUUUUGAUGUUUAGUUUGCUCUAUGAUUGUUUUAUCAUCUAAUUAAUGAUUUUCUCUCUUAAUGAUGUUCACUCUUCUCUUUGUGUUGUUUUGUGAUUGUGCAUGAAUCUGACACCUGAUGAACACCAUGCAAAGAAGGAUGGCAGCAACCCCAAAGGCAAAAGUAGGAUCAUCAGUGAGGACAACAGCAAAGAUGGCAGCCGUUCAACCUGUGAAGAAUCAGCAUUCCAACACGAGGCUUGAGAAUUGGUCGCGGCAGAUGGCCAUUCACCAUGAUCCGGGUUCUGCUCAAGGUUUCUGCCACGGGCAGUUUUUCCUUGCCACCGUCGCCAAGUGCUUGGUCAUGCUGGAAAUUGUAGUGGAGAUUGUUCAAACUAUCAUCACAGAACUAUACAAUUACAACUACGAUUAAACACUUUGUUACAAUCUUCUAAA
Centropristis striata (black sea bass) is the source of this 3174-nucleotide long non-coding RNA. RefSeq lists it as uncharacterized. The transcript is spliced from 2 exons. The record is from RefSeq and is a predicted model, not a curated record. NCBI's taxonomy places the organism in Eukaryota, Metazoa, Chordata, Actinopteri, Perciformes, Serranidae.